RNAcentral lists this ribosomal RNA (914 nucleotides) under Dactylella clavata. RNAcentral's name for it is "LSU rRNA". It matches the Rfam family "Eukaryotic large subunit ribosomal RNA", at positions 33 to 968 of the family's 3401-position model. Lineage: Eukaryota; Fungi; Ascomycota; Orbiliomycetes; Orbiliales; Orbiliaceae. The record is from RNAcentral.
ACUAAGCAUAUCAAUAAGCGGAGGAAAAGAAACCAACAGGGAUUGCUUUAGUAACGGCGAGUGAAGCGGCAAUAGCUCAAAUUUGAAAUCUGGAGCCUUGGGUCCCCGAGUUGUAAUUUGAAGAGGAUAUUUCGGAUCGGCCCUGAUCUAAGUUCCUUGGAACAGGACGUCAUGGAGGGUGAGAAUCCCGUACAUGGUCGUGGGCUUGAUCCAUGUGAAAUACCUUCGAAGAGUCGAGUUGUUUGGGAAUGCAGCUCAAAAUGGGUGGUAAAUUUCAUCUAAAGCUAAAUAUUGGCGAGAGACCGAUAGCGCACAAGUAGAGUGAUCGAAAGAUGAAAAGCACUUUGAAAAGAGAGUUAAACAGUACGUGAAAUUGUUGAAAGGGAAGCGCUUGCAAUCAGACUCACCUGCGGUUGAUCAACGUUCCUUCUGGUUCGUGCACUCUGCCGUUUGUGGGCCAGCAUCAGUUAGAGCGGUGGGACAAAGGUAGCGGGAAUGUGGCUCUCUUCGGGGAGUGUUAUAGCCCGUUGCGUAAUGCCACCAGCACUGACUGAGGUCCGCGGUUCGCCUAGGAUGCUGGCUUAAUGGUUGUAAGCGACCCGUCUUGAAACACGGACCAAGGAGUCUAACAUCUAUGCGAGUCUUUGGGUGUCAAACCCAUGGGCGAAAUGAAAGUGAACGGAGGUGGGAGUCCUCGGAUGCACCAUCGACCGAUCCUGAUGUUCUCGGAUGGAUUUGAGUAGGAGCAUAGCUGUUGGGACCCGAAAGAUGGUGAACUAUGCCUGAAUAGGGUGAAGCCAGAGGAAACUCUGGUGGAGGCUCGCAGCGGUUCUGACGUGCAAAUCGAUCGUCAAAUUUGGGUAUAGGGGCGAAAGACUAAUCGAACCAUCUAGUAGCUGGUUCCUGCCGAAGUU